GCCCGGCUAGCUCAAUCGGUAGAGCGUGAGACUCUUAAAGCUUCUCCACAGCUGCAGGCAUCUCAAGGUUGGGGGUUCGACCCCCCCGUCGGGCU
Molecule: non-coding RNA, 95 nt
Organism: Lasiosphaeria hispida
Lineage: Eukaryota; Fungi; Ascomycota; Sordariomycetes; Sordariales; Lasiosphaeriaceae
Source: the annotation of a GenBank genome assembly